Molecule: small RNA, 132 nt
Filed under: Salmonella enterica
Lineage: Bacteria; Pseudomonadati; Pseudomonadota; Gammaproteobacteria; Enterobacterales; Enterobacteriaceae
Description: RtT sRNA
Rfam family: RtT RNA
About the family: This family represents a bacterial cis-regulatory element known as RtT RNA.
Source: RNAcentral
AUAUCUCUCUGUACGGGAAGGAUGAGAAGCUUCGACUAAGGUUCGAUUCGAGCGAAAGCGAGAAAGCGUUGCCAACGGCAACGACCCGAAGGGCGAAGCGCGCAGCGCUGAGUAAUUCUUCCCCCACCACCA